UGGAUAAGUUGUAUCUUCGGG
Non-coding RNA from Caenorhabditis elegans, 21 nucleotides. Lineage: Eukaryota; Metazoa; Nematoda; Chromadorea; Rhabditida; Rhabditidae. The record is from Ensembl.